This is a long non-coding RNA of Herpailurus yagouaroundi (jaguarundi), 2807 nucleotides long. RefSeq lists it as uncharacterized. The record is from RefSeq and is a predicted model, not a curated record. NCBI's taxonomy places the organism in Eukaryota, Metazoa, Chordata, Mammalia, Carnivora, Felidae. The transcript is spliced from 2 exons.
UAGGAGCGUGGUCACUGUGUCCGACAAGGUGAGGGGAAUCUGAGCAGCCAUCCGGCCUGGGGAUGGCUCAGGCCCUGGGAGGAUGGGGGGGCGGUAGCCCGGCCCUUAGAGGGGCAGGAGGGCUGAGGGCAUGGCCCUAAUGCUGUGGGGGCGGCUGUGACAUAAGAGGCCCUUCUGGGGCUGCUGCAGAGCCGGGGUUCUGGGGCGUACUUCACCUCCCUUCCACCUCUGUAGGCAGACCCUGGCCCAGGAGGUUCCCCUACGUGGACAGCCUGGCCGUCCCCUCCGCGCCUGCUGUGUCGUUCCAGGCGUCCUGGGGCUUGGGGACCCCCAAGGAGCCCCAGCUACCAGACCCACAGCUCUUCCCCUUAGCCUCCCGGGGGGAGGGGGCGCUGCACAUAUUCACCCGUAAACCGAAGAGAACAGCAACACCAGCCCAGGAGCUUCAGGACAGCACAGUGGGCCCCGCUCUUGGUCAGGCCUCUCUCCCACCCAGAGGAGCCUGCCAGGGCAUGAGGGUGGGGACCCUGAGCACCGAGCGCCCAGCGUUUGAGCAGCCCCUCCCCCCUGGCCUGGACACCCCCUGCCGCCCCCCCCCCAUCUGCCCACCAUCAUGGGCAGAUCUUGGUGUCCCUGAAACCAAACCCUGGCGAAGAUGCUCCCUGCAGCACCUCCUCCUUGCCCGGGGGGGGGGGGGGGAGGGCUGCUGGGAGCCUGCCCCCCGGAAAGCACAAAUUUGAAGCUCUGGGAAAAAUUACCAAGUCACGUAAACAAAUGCAAAAUAACAGAGCACACACUGUGUACCAAACCCACUCUUUCUAGUUAAGCAAACCUCAGAAAGGAAAAAAAGGAAGAAAAAAUCCAAACAACCGCAAAAACUCCACAGUGCAUUUUUUAAACUGCCCAUUUGAGUAGAAUUAUGGUCACGGGCAUCAGUUCCUGGUGGCUGGCAUCUCACCCUUGAACCCUGUCCUGGUCCCCAAGUCCUCAGAGUAGCAAGAAACCCAGCCCAACCAGACUCUUAGGCUCCGGGUCAGCUGGGGCGACUGCCACUGCCACGGAGGGAGUGAGGGCCACGACAAGGGGGACCAGCCACGAGGGUGUGAAGAGGGCCCCCCCAACCCAGACCUAAUGAACCCAUUUCCUCAGCAAGACCCAGGCCCUGGGGGGGGGGGGGGGGGGGUUGGAGCCCCUUUUCCAAACUGGAAUCAGAGCUUGUCCUGGCCCCAGCCCCUCCCUGGGCCUUUCAUUCUGGAAAAACAAGCCCGCCUGGCUGGCCUUGAGGCCUGGCCUCUCCUCCUGUUUUUUUAACUGGUCUAUAUUAGCUGGUGACCUCCCUUCUCUGGGCCCCGCCCAUGUCUCUCCAUCUCUGUCCCCCAUUCCCGCCUCUGUCUGCCGGGCUGCCUCUCCCCCACGGAGGGAAGAUGUCCAGGCAGUGCUGGAGGGAGACAGAAAUGGCCCAGGGCUGGUCCCUCUGUCUGGGAGGGGACAAGGGGGUAGGGGGCAGCUCCAGCCCUGAGCCGGGAGCCUGUGGGCGCCCUCCUGUUCCCAACAGGUUCCCUGGCCUCAGGCCCCGCACACUGAGGUCCAGCGGGGCCCUCGAGGUCCGGACUCAGCCCUCAGCUCGGCCCAAGUGUAGAAGUCUGAGGGGGCCGCCCCUGGGGGGAAGCUGACCCCCCCCCCCACGCACCCUGGGCAAGAAGGGACAGAGGCAGUGGAGGGCUGCAAACCCCUUUCCCUGCCCUCUCUGCUUGAGGGCAGCAAAACCAAAGUGAGCGGCAAAGGGCCGCUGCCCACCCCUCCGCCCCCGCUCUUGGCAGGAAACAGCCACAGAUGAGAGCAGAGAGCCAGCAGGCCACGUGCCCCUCCCCCGGCAGAGGCUUGAGGCCUCCUGCUCCUUCACGAGUGCCUGUGGGUUGUUCAUUUCCCGGUGUCGCCCGCACUCCGUUUUCCCUCGGGAAGGGAACCCACCAGGACAAAACAAACCCACGGACAUCACCUUGGUCCCACCCUGAACUCUGGCCAAUCCCCCAGCCAGCCCAGAGGCCCAGACCCACCACCCCUCUCCUCGGAGGCGUGGCUGGACGAGGCCGGGGUCAGUCACUCAGCCUGACAGACUCAGCUCCUGCCUCUUCCUCCCGAGGACUCAGACAUUCCAGGCAGCCAGGCUCACUGGGAGGAGAAACCACAGGCACUCAGAGACGCCACCAGCCACAACCAGACACAGAGACACGUGCUCACACCCACCAAUAAUGUCACGCAACAAAUAUUUGCUGAGCGCCUACUGUGUGCCAGGGCGCUGCGAGUUGCUGGAGGGAGGCAGACGGACGGCAGGUCCGCCCACUGACAAAUAAGGUUGUUUUCAUCUCUGGGAGAAGUGCUGUCUGGAGACGAAAGCGGGGCAGGGUCUUCCUCCGUGGGACUGACCGGGAUGGCCUCUGAUGGAGGGACACCCACAGAAAAAUCCGUGUCGGAUUUGCAGUUGGCAGCAGGGAAGUAUGAGGAGAGCAGGAAGCAUCGCAGCUGACGGGGCGGCCGGCGCAUCCAAAGGUCAGAGAGCGGAGCCCGUCUUCAGCUGUAACAUACCUUCCAAGGAUUUGAUCAACAAUCACUCUGAGAGCAAGAACCGAUGACGAGCUUGGAGGGCACGAGAAACUGCCAGGGGCUUUCUGCUCACCUCACGGGGUCCUGAUUGUCACUGACGGGCAAGGGCACCGAAACACGCUUACCGAGCGGGUCCUACCCGUGGGCGUGAACAUGCGACGUUGUUCAAACGUAGCAAUAAUGAUGGCAUUCCUUUUUUUUUU